Molecule: unclassified non-coding RNA, 2475 nt
Filed under: Leishmania donovani
Lineage: Eukaryota; Euglenozoa; Kinetoplastea; Trypanosomatida; Trypanosomatidae
Description: gene:LdHU3.16.0060(CDS-product:DEAD/DEAH_box_heli case/Helicase_conserved_C-inal_domain_containing_protein_pu tative)
Source: RNAcentral
GCACAACUUCCAUCUGCGCGCCACUCGACGUUCAGUGCUGUUGUUAUGUCGCUCACUGCCCUCACUGCCAAGCGUGUUCGGCGCACAUGGGAGCCGGAGGAGAAGGCGUGGCACGAUGAUGCGUUGGAGCUGCCAUGGGAGGAUAUUCGACCGGAGCUGCACAAGGCAUCCAUCUUCGCCUUGAAGAAUGUCUUCUUCUUUUCGCACGCCACCCCCGUGCAAGCGCUCGCGCUGCGCGUCCUCACGCAAGCAGGUACAAGCGCUGUCGUCGAGGCACCAACGGGAAGUGGUAAGACCCUCGCGUUUCUUCUCCCCAUCAUGGAGCGGUGCGUGCGAUCUUGCGAAGCGUAUGUGGCGUCGCAUCAGCGACCACCCCUGUUUCGUCACGUGCUCGGCGUCAUCUUCUCGCCGUCGCGCACGCUGGCUGAGCAGACAUUCGUGGUCGGCCGCAGCCUCGCGGCUCGCUACCCCUUCAACAUCCAGUUCGUCCUCUGCGACGGCGUUGUCCAGAAGCCUGCGACAGUACUGCAGCACCUCCAGCGUGGGGCCCGUGGUGCGGGCACGAUCCUCGUCACGACUCCAAAGGACUUUGACGAGCUGCUUCCGAUGCUCGAGGAGGCUCAAAAGACGCCACUCGACCCUUCCAGUGAUGAUAUCACGGAUUUCCUGGCACAGCAAGAUGAGGCAACGCGGCAGCGUUACCUUGCUCGCAGAGCGCAAGCAAACACCGAUGCGGAGAAGGGCAGUAUCUCUCGUGAUAGUGUACGCUUCUACUCCACAUCGGAGGCACGGUUCGUUGUUGUCCUUGACGAGGCAGACCUGCUCUACAACUCCACCGACAUGCGCAACACAGUGCAGCAGUUUGUGGCUGCCUAUGGGCGUACCCGUGACCCUGUGAGCCCGUCUCCGCGCCGCCGCAAGUCAGCCGCGAAGAAGCGGCCUGUGCCCGAGAAAGAGCCCGGGACGGCCGGCGCACGGCUGUGGAUGGACUUUGCGUUUGUCGGGGCUACUGUCGCCACCUCGCCUUCGCUCAAGGUGUAUGCCAGGAAGGUGUGCGCGGAGUGUGAUAGCACCUUGCACACGCUGGCGCUGCGGUCCAACGACGACUUUGUCUCACAGCUGAGCAACCGCUUCGUCGUGUGCGACGCCGCGAACUUUCUGCCGUAUUUCGUCCAGCUCAUGAACCUGCACGCGUCGAAGAAGCACUUUGUCUUCUUCAACAACUUUCGUGUUCUUCUGUUUGUGCAGCGGCUUUUCUCUGUUCUGUGCCAGGGCGCACGCCCACUCCUGUACAUACCGAAGGUGUUUGCGAUGUACGAGGGCAUGACGGAAAGUGCCCGCAUCGAUCAGUACAACCAGUUCCUCACCCACGUGAGUCGCAGCAACGAGACCCGCAAGCCGAAGAAAGCCCUCUCAGACGCAGAGAAGAAGAACCAGGUCUUCACGAGCGGCUGGAAGCGCGACGGCACCGUGAGCAUGGGCACGGGCGCCAUUCUCCUCUGCACCGAUGUCGCCGCCUUUGGGCUCGAUGUGCGCGAUGUCGACUAUGUGUACCACUUUGAGCCACCGGCUACUGUGCAGUCGUACAUCCACCGCGUUGGGCGUGUAGGCCGCAUGGGCAUGAAGGGAAGCAGCAUUCUGCUCCUUCCCUGCAACGCCAACUCGACGCCGAUGCAGUCCACGCACGAGCGCAAGAUGGACAGCACACGCUUCCACACCGUCACCAACACCAAAAAACCUACGGCACAGCUCCAAACGCCUUGCAUCAGCGCUGACUCGCUCCCAGAAGAGCGUCGUGCCUACGUGGCGGAGCUUGGCAAGCACAGCGCGCUGGAAGAGUACACCAUCCCGCCCUUCGCCCCCAUUACCUCCACCCUCCGGAAUCACAUCCAGCAGGACGGCAAGCUACUAAAGCUUGCAAAGCGCGCCGCAAUAUCCAUGUGCGCGGCGCCGGAGGGCGAGGAGGAGAAGGCGUGGUUCCACCCACGUCUCGCGGUGCGUGCACUUCUUUUGGAUUAGCUCCCCAAGGCCAGCACUUCGGGUGUCUGCGACCCCUCGGUGCGGGCAUACCAGUUUUAACGGCGGCCGUCCUGAUCUCUCUUUUCGUAUAACGCCGCUAUGAAGGGGCCAAACACCGUCCACACUCGAGAGGCGAACGCCAACGAAGGGCAUGCGAGCCACCAAGACAUGAGAGGGGCUCUUCUUCCUCCCGACACUCGUAUCUUCGUUUCAAGGAUUCCCGCAUCUGCCGCCAGUCUCGUCUCGGACGAAACGUGGGCAAAAAGAAGAAGGCGAUGCCUUGCUGCGCGGACCUUGAGGCGCUGCCCUCAGAUGAUGAGCCACUGACGUGGAGGCCACGCCGCACUCGUGUCUCAUCUCCCUCCGCUCACUUUACCCCGCCUCUGCGUUUCCCCUUUUCACGUUCUUUCGAUCGCGUCCUUUGCGUUCCCUUGCACCCAAUCCUGUUGUGUGCAG